AGCAUCUGCACCUGUGUUGGUGCCUGUGUAAACAGGUGAAAAGGGAAUGUGCGCCCGGAGGUUUUCCGGUUAAGCACAGCCGCCCCCGCGACCGUGAACGGAAAAAGGUGGAUCACCGCCACUGGCCAAAGGCUGGGAAGGCAGAUCCACCGCAGGGCACCGCCCCUAAAUCCGUGAGCCGGGAGACCUGCCAACACAUGUUGCCACGA
Molecule: non-coding RNA, 209 nt
Filed under: Primorskyibacter flagellatus
Lineage: Bacteria; Pseudomonadati; Pseudomonadota; Alphaproteobacteria; Rhodobacterales; Roseobacteraceae
Source: RNAcentral